This is a non-coding RNA of Talaromyces marneffei PM1, 72 nucleotides long. NCBI's taxonomy places the organism in Eukaryota, Fungi, Ascomycota, Eurotiomycetes, Eurotiales, Trichocomaceae. The record is from Rfam.
GGCUGGGUGGCGCAAUGGUAGCGCGUCACUUUCCGGUGGUGAAGGUUGCGUGUUCGAGUCACGCCUCGGUCG